CCCUUAGAUGUUAUGGGCCGCACGCGCGCUACACUGAUGCAUUCAACGAGCCUAUCCUUGACCGACAGGUCCGGGUAAUCUUUGAAUCUGCAUCGUGACGGGGAUAGAUUAUUGCAAUUAUUAAUCUUCAACGAGGAAUGCCUAGUAGGCGCAAGUCAUCAGCUUGCGUCGAUUACGUCCCUGCCCUUUGUACACACCGCCCGUCGCUCCUACCGAUUGGGUGUGCUGGUGAAAUGUUCGGAUCGGCCGUUUGUCGCGGUUUCCGCGUCAUGUGGCUGAGAAGUUCAUUAAACCCUCCCACCUAGAGGAAGGAGAAGUCGUAACA
Molecule: ribosomal RNA, 325 nt
Filed under: uncultured eukaryote
Lineage: Eukaryota
Description: partial 18S ribosomal RNA
Rfam family: Eukaryotic small subunit ribosomal RNA
Source: RNAcentral